RNAcentral lists this Y RNA (101 nucleotides) under Carlito syrichta (Philippine tarsier). RNAcentral's name for it is "Y RNA (ENSTSYG00000031898.1)". It matches the Rfam family "Y RNA". From Rfam's summary of the family: Y RNAs are components of the Ro ribonucleoprotein particle (Ro RNP), in association with Ro60 and La proteins. The Y RNAs and Ro60 and La proteins are well conserved, but the function of the Ro RNP is not known. Lineage: Eukaryota; Metazoa; Chordata; Mammalia; Primates; Tarsiidae. The record is from Rfam by way of RNAcentral.
AGCUAGUUGGAGUGCCGUGGUGUUUACAACUAACUGAUCACAGCCACUACAGAUUUCUUUGUUCCUUCUUCAUGCCCACUGUUUCACUUGACUAGCCAGAA